Molecule: ribosomal RNA, 495 nt
Filed under: uncultured bacterium
Lineage: Bacteria
Description: partial 16S ribosomal RNA
Rfam family: Bacterial small subunit ribosomal RNA
Source: RNAcentral
GACGAACGCUGGCGGCGUGCCUAAUACAUGCAAGUAGAACGCUGAAGGAGGAGCUUGCUCUUCUGGAUGAGUUGCGAACGGGUGAGUAACGCGUAGGUAACCUGCCUGGUAGCGGGGGAUAACUAUUGGAAACGAUAGCUAAUACCGCAUAAGAGUAGAUGUUGCAUGACAUUUACUUAAACGGUGCAAUUGCAUCACUACCAGAUGGACCUGCGUUGUAUUAGCUAGUUGGUGGGGUAACGGCUUACCAAGGCGACGAUACAUAGCCGACCUGGGAAGGUGAUCGGCCAAACUGGGACUGAGACACGGCCCAGACUCCUACGGGAGGCAGCAGUAGGGAAUCUUCGGCAAUGGACGGAAGUCUGAACGAGCAACGCCGCGGGAGGGAAGAAGGUUUUCGGAUCGUAAAGCUCUGUUGUAAGAGAAGAACGAGUGUGAGAGUGGAAAGUUCACACUGUGACGGUAUCUUACCAGAAAGGGACGGCUAACUACGUG